Molecule: ribosomal RNA, 394 nt
Filed under: uncultured bacterium
Lineage: Bacteria
Description: bacterial SSU rRNA
Rfam family: Bacterial small subunit ribosomal RNA
Source: RNAcentral
AAUGAACGUUGGCGGCGUGGAUUAGGCAUGCAAGUCGUGCGAGAAGUUUCCCUGCUUGCAGGGAAAUGGACAGCGGCGCAAGGGAGAGUGACGCGUGGAUUAUCUGCCCCGAGACCCGGGAUAGCGGCGGGAAACUGCCGGUAAUACCGGAUAAUGUCUCCGGACCAAAGGUGUGAUUCCGUCUUGGGAUGAGUCCGCGUCCUAUUAGCUUGUUGGUGGGGUAAUGGCCUACCAAGGCUUAGAUGGGUACCGGGUGUGAGAGCAUGGCCCGGCUCACUGGGACUGAGACACUGCCCAGACACCUACGGGGCUGCAGUCGAGAAUCUUCGGCAAUGGACGCAAGUCUGACCGAGCGACGCCGCGUGCGGGAUGAAGGCCUUCGGGUUGUAAACCC